Molecule: long non-coding RNA, 341 nt
Filed under: Bos taurus (domestic cattle)
Lineage: Eukaryota; Metazoa; Chordata; Mammalia; Artiodactyla; Bovidae
Description: long non-coding RNA NONBTAT018412
Source: RNAcentral
ACCAAAUACUGCAAUGAUCUUUGAGAAUAUCCUCACCCUACUUCCCUCUUCAGCCCAGCCAAUACCUUAGUCAUCUCAUGUACAGAUAAGCUUGUGAGUUUAAAAGUCUAGCUUUGUUGAUUCCUGACCCUGUUCCCAGAUACAUAGCCCUCUUCUACUAUCCCAUGUUUCUGUCUCUGCCCAUAUGAAUGUCCCUUCCCUUAUCCACAACUUUCCGUCUCUUCUUCCCUUUACUUUCUAUUUCACAUACUCUGAAGUGCUCAGAUAGGCAUUAAGUUAAUGUUAUGAUUAAAGGAAAUUCAUUCUAAACCAUGAAUGAGAUCCCCUUAUGGAGCAUUUCC